Molecule: ribosomal RNA, 468 nt
Filed under: uncultured bacterium
Lineage: Bacteria
Description: partial 16S ribosomal RNA
Rfam family: Bacterial small subunit ribosomal RNA
Source: RNAcentral
GAUGAACGCUGGCGGCGUGCUUAACACAUGCAAGUCGAACGGAAAGGCCCAAGCUUGCUUGGGUACUCGAGUGGCGAACGGGUGAGUAACACGUGGGUGAUCUGCCCUGCACUUCGGGAUAAGCCUGGGAAACUGGGUCUAAUACUGGAUAGGACCACUUCUUGGAUGGUGUGGUGGAAAGUUUUUUCGGUGUGGGAUGAGCUCGCGGCCUAUCAGCUUGUUGGUGGGGUAAUGGCCUACCAAGGCGUCGACGGGUAGCCGGCCUGAGAGGGUGUACGGCCACAUUGGGACUGAGAUACGGCCCAGACUCCUACGGGGGGCAGCAGUGGGGAAUAUUGCACAAUGGGCGCAAGCCUGAUGCAGCGACGCCGCGUGGGGGAUGACGGCCUUCGGGUUGUAAACUCCUUUCGCUAGGGACGAAGCGUUUUUGUGACGGUACCUGGAGAAGAAGCACCGGCUAACUACGUG